GUCGGACGGGAUCCAUUCUAAGCUUGCUUAGGGUGGUGAGAGUGGCGCACGGCUGCGUAACGCGUGAGCAACCUGCCCAUAUCAGGGGUAUAGCCCGCAGAAAUUCGGAUUAACACCGCAUGAGAUCACACUUCCGCAUGGGAGAGUGAUUAAAUAUUUAUAGGAUAUGGAUGGGCUCGCGUGACAUUAGCUAGUUGGUAGGGUAACGGCUUACCAAGGCUACGAUGUCUAGGGGCUCUGAGAGGAGAAUCCCCCACACUGGUACUGAGACACGGACCAGACUCCUACGGGAGGCAGCAGUAAGGAAUAUUGGUCAAUGGAGGGAACUCUGAACCAGCCAUGCCGCGUGCAGGAUGACUGCCCUAUGGGUUGUAAACUGCUUUUGUACGGAACGAAAAGCCUGGGGCUAAUACCCCCGGGUCAUGACGGUACCGUAAGAAUAAGCACCGGCUAACUCCGUGCCAGCAGCCGCGGUAAUACGGAGGGUGCAAGCGUUACUCGGAAUCACUGGGCGUAAAGGAUGCGUAGGCUGGAAAUCAAGUCGAGAGUGAAAUCCAACGGCUCAACCGUUGAACUGCUCUCGAAACUGGUUACCUAGAAUAUGGGAGAGGUAGAUGGAAUUGGUGGUGUAGGGGUAAAAUCCGUAGAUAUCACCAGGAAUACCGAUUGCGAAAGCGAUCUACUGGAACAUUAUUGACGCUGAGGCAUGAAAGCGUGGGGAGCAAACAGGAUUAGAUACCCCUGGUAGUCCACGCCCUAAACGAAGCACACUAAUUGGUGCGAUGCUAGUCAUUGCAGUAAUGCACUUAACAGAAUAAGUG
This 821-nucleotide ribosomal RNA is filed under the name uncultured bacterium. RNAcentral describes it as "bacterial SSU rRNA". It matches the Rfam family "Bacterial small subunit ribosomal RNA", at positions 61 to 866 of the family's 1533-position model. The record is from RNAcentral.